RNAcentral lists this unclassified non-coding RNA (200 nucleotides) under Sordariomycetes sp. RNAcentral describes it as "partial internal transcribed spacer 2". Lineage: Eukaryota; Fungi; Ascomycota; Sordariomycetes. The record is from RNAcentral.
UUAAGUUCAGCGGGUAGUCCUACCUGAUCCGAGGUCAACUUUUUGGGAGUGGCGCUAUUGGCGCUAUAGGGCGAGAGGCAAAACCGCGCUACGGCCGCCGGAGCGUUAAAGUUAGGUAACUACUGCGCUCAGGGCCGGACGGGUCCGCCGCUAAAUUUGGGGGCCUGCGGGAGGGCCGCAGCGCCCCAACGCCAGACACG